GUACACGCUGUGACUAGCAUAUCAAUAAGCGGAGGAAAAGAAACUAACAAGGAUUCCCUCUAGUAACGGCGAGUGAAGCGGGAAGAGCUCAAAUUUGAAAUCUUAAAGGGUUUCCCUUUACGAAUUGUAGUUUAAAGAAGUGUUUUCUGUUGAGGUUUUGGUAAAAGUUCUUUGGAAUAGGACAUCAUAGAGGGUGAGAAUCCCGUAUUUGACCUUUACUUUCAACUUUGUGAUACACUUUCAAAGAGUCGGAUUGUUUGGGAAUGCAGUCCAAAAUGGGUGGUAAAUUUCAUCUAAAGCUAAAUAUUGGCGAGAGACCGAUAGCGAACAAGUACCGUGAGGGAAAGAUGAAAAGAACUUUGAAAAGAGAGUUAAACAGUACGUGAAAUUGUCAAAAGGGAAGCGUUUGACACCAGUGUUGUUUUUCUGAAAAUCAAUUAAAGAACUGUUUAUGCUAAGCUGUUUAGACUUUAUCAGCUAACUGUUUAGUUUUGAGCUUUUCUUUAAUGCACUUUUCAGUUAACAAGUCAACAUCAAUUUCUUUUGCUGUAAAAAAGCUUGAGGAAGGUGGCUUGAGAUUCGUCUUAAGUGUUUAUAGCCUCUUGCCUAUGCAGUCGGAGAGAUUGAGGUCUGCAGCGUAGAUCCUUCGGGGCUAAAUGCAUUUGUGCUAAGUUAUAGCAUUUUAUAGACAACUUGUUGACUAUGAUUUGUCUUGUAGCUUACUCGCUUAUGUUAUUUUACCUACGCUUAGGAUGUUGAGUCGUAGAGCACGCAG
This 775-nucleotide ribosomal RNA is filed under the name uncultured Neocallimastigales. RNAcentral describes it as "partial large subunit ribosomal RNA". It matches the Rfam family "Eukaryotic large subunit ribosomal RNA", at positions 22 to 628 of the family's 3401-position model. The record is from RNAcentral. Lineage: Eukaryota; Fungi; Neocallimastigomycota; Neocallimastigomycetes; Neocallimastigales.